RNAcentral lists this ribosomal RNA (465 nucleotides) under uncultured bacterium. RNAcentral's name for it is "partial 16S ribosomal RNA". It matches the Rfam family "Bacterial small subunit ribosomal RNA", at positions 338 to 795 of the family's 1533-position model. The record is from RNAcentral.
CCUACGGGUGGCAGCAGUGGGGAAUAUUGCGCAAUGGGCGAAAGCCUGACGCAGCGACGCCGCGUGAGGGAUGAAGGUCUUCGGAUCGUAAACCUCUGUCAGCAGGGAAGAACGGUCAGUGUGCUAAUCAGCAGUGAAUUGACGGUACCUGCAAAGGAAGCACCGGCUAACUCCGUGCCAGAAGCCGCGGUAAUACGGAGGGUGCGAGCGUUAAUCGGAAUUACUGGGCGUAAAGCGUUCGUAGGCGGUAUGUCAAGUCAAGGGUGAAAUCCCCGCGCUCAACGUGGGAACUGCCUUUGAAACUGGCAGGCUGGAGUGUGUGAGAGGAAAGUGGAAUUCGAGGUGUAGGAGUGAAAUGCGUAGAGAUCUGGAGGAACACCGGUGGCGAAGGCGACUAUCUGGCACAUGACUGACGCUGAGGAGCGAAAGCGUGGGGAGCAAACAGGAUUAGAUACCCUGGUAGUC